AUCGCUUCUUGGCCUUUUGGCUAAGAUCAACUGUAGUAUCUGUUCUUAUCAGUUUAAAAAACAAUGAGAUACCACCUGAUGCCUGUUAGAAUGCCUAAAAUCAAGAAGUGUUGGCAAAAACAUGAAGAAAAAAAAACCCUCA
RNAcentral lists this small nuclear RNA (142 nucleotides) under Suricata suricatta (meerkat). Its description in RNAcentral is "U2 spliceosomal RNA (ENSSSUG00005009523.1)". It matches the Rfam family "U2 spliceosomal RNA". From Rfam's summary of the family: U2 is a small nuclear RNA (snRNA) component of the spliceosome (involved in pre-mRNA splicing). Complementary binding between U2 snRNA (in an area lying towards the 5' end but 3' to hairpin I) and the branchpoint sequence (BPS) of the intron results the bulging out of an unpaired adenosine, on the BPS, which initiates a nucleophilic attack at the intronic 5' splice site, thus starting the first of two transesterification reactions that mediate splicing. The record is from Rfam by way of RNAcentral. Lineage: Eukaryota; Metazoa; Chordata; Mammalia; Carnivora; Herpestidae.